This 667-nucleotide ribosomal RNA is filed under the name uncultured Bacillus sp. Its description in RNAcentral is "bacterial SSU rRNA". It matches the Rfam family "Bacterial small subunit ribosomal RNA", at positions 8 to 655 of the family's 1533-position model. Lineage: Bacteria; Bacillati; Bacillota; Bacilli; Caryophanales; Bacillaceae. The record is from RNAcentral.
AGAGUUUGAUCAUGGCUCAGGAUGAACGCUGGCGGCGUGCCUAAUACAUGCAAGUCGAGCGAACUGAUUAGAAGCUUGCUUCUAUGACGUUAGCGGCGGACGGGUGAGUAACACGUGGGCAACCUGCCUGUAAGACUGGGAUAACUUCGGGAAACCGAAGCUAAUACCGGAUAGGAUCUUCUCCUUCAUGGGAGAUGAUUGAAAGAUGGUUUCGGCUAUCACUUACAGAUGGGCCCGCGGUGCAUUAGCUAGUUGGUGAGGUAACGGCUCACCAAGGCAACGAUGCAUAGCCGACCUGAGAGGGUGAUCGGCCACACUGGGACUGAGACACGGCCCAGACUCCUACGGGAGGCAGCAGUAGGGAAUCUUCCGCAAUGGACGAAAGUCUGACGGAGCAACGCCGCGUGAGUGAUGAAGGCUUUCGGGUCGUAAAACUCUGUUGUUAGGGAAGAACAAGUACAAGAGUAACUGCUUGUACCUUGACGGUACCUAACCAGAAAGCCACGGCUAACUACGUGCCAGCAGCCGCGGUAAUACGUAGGUGGCAAGCGUUAUCCGGAAUUAUUGGGCGUAAAAGCGCGCGCAGGCGGUUUCUUAAGUCUGAUGUGAAAGCCCACGGCUCAACCGUGGAGGGUCAUUGGAAACUGGGGAACUUGAGUGCGAAACA